ACUUGGCGGUUUACGCCAUUCAUUUGUUGCCAUGCAGUCACUGAAUUCGCAAUACAACCGUAUCUAUGGAUGACGCGAACGGAGCGAAUCUGUGUGGACACAGCAGUCGACGUGAGUAGCGGCAGCACCCCCUGUAAGAGAAAGCCCGUCCACGCAGUGCGUGACAUCACAACAUGGCUAUCCAUGGAGUCUAACUAGUUUUCAACAGUUUUGUGGGACAGUGCUUGUGAACAGUCGUGCGGCGCGUUUUGAAUCAGUUUACUAUUAUAGUGUAUGGUGUUCCUGCAUCUGUGUACAUGAUUUGAUUGUUUAUUUUCUGUGCACUAAACUGAUGAUCUGUUUUUCUUGCCUGUGAAUAUUUCGUUGCUUGCCAAAUGCUGUUUCGAUGCUCUGCGCCAAAUUGUAGGGGAAAUUACGACGGUCAACCAAAAGUAACUGUGUUUAAAUCCCCUGGGAAGGAGGAUGAAGCAACGAGGAAGAAACAGUUGUCAAGUUUUCGCAUCCUCCGGGAAGGAGGAUGAAGCAAUGAGGAAGAAUCAGUUGUCAAGUAUUCGCAGAGACAACUUUAGUCCUUCUUCAAGUUCAAUAAUAAGGUACUCAUCACUUGACUACCACAUGCCCUCCCACAUUGAAGUUGCUCCAACUACACUGGAUUGCCUGUGUUUCUCCAUCAAUCUAUUUGAAGAACUGAAUUUACCUUUUGGUGCCUCUAUUUGACAUUAUUUGAGUGCUACAUUUGUAUAUUUUAAAAUUUCCUUUAAUUGCAAUUUGUUCAGUGUCUGCUUAUCUGUCAGCUGCAUCUGAAAUUAAUUGUCUUACGCCCUACGCUGCCAUGUGUGUUAGUGACCACAGAGGUAGAAAUUGAGUCUGAUUUGUAAUGGAAGUUGUUGCUUCCCUGACUGAUGUAGCGUCUAGAAAAUUGCCUACAGCUGUGGUAAGUAAACACUAUGAUUACGAUCGUAGAUGUUUGAGUGCCUGCACUCAGGAUUUGUCUGUUUCUUUCUAAGUCAGUUAAGUUAAUCUGACUGAGAGUUGUGUGUGAUUAUUGCAUCAAAUUAUUAUUAUAUCGUAUUGUAAGAUUAACCAGUUAAUCAGUAAUAAUUCUUGGUAAAAUUCUGAUUGUUACACAUAAGGUUUGGUCAGGGUUUAGGGCCAUGCUCAUAUUGAGUUUUGGUCUUGAUCUGAGCAUUUUCAUAUAUUCCAUGAUUUUUAUGUAUGAUUUAUAUAUUUGCUUGGAUUCUCUCAGACUUCCGAGCUGUUCAUAGUAUUUGGAAGUGCUAUUCAGGGUGUUAUUUGUUACCCAGUGGUCCACCAGGUGUAGCCUGUCUGUGUCGGCUGUGUAUGCGCACGUGGGUGGCAUGCCAAUAUCUGUCUCACCAUAACCUCUGAACGUUAUGGCCUCCUGGUAUGCUAUGACAUCCCUUAUCAGUUGAAUUUUUAUCUCAUAGCUCCUGGGCGUUAAUUUACCCAGUUGUACCCAUUAUGUUUUUCACUUUAUUCAGACCUGGCCUGCUGCAGCUGCCUCUACCAUGGUUUCCCCGUUUGAAGUUUGAUUUUUUAACGUAAUAGUUUCAAUGUUGAUUUACUACUCAGUUGUUAAAUGGUAUUUUAUUAUUAUUCCACCCCAGUAUCUUGAAUGAGCCAAGGAGCUUUCUCUAAUUUACUUUGUCCAGGGUUAUAAGAAAUUUAUAUUUUUUAUUUAUUUAUAUUGAACCUAUUGUGUGUUGUUAAUGUGGAAAUCUGAAUUGAACAGUUUCCAUUUCUAAUGUAUUUCAGAGAAAUGCUCUGUAUUUAUGGUGGUAAGCUAGACUAAAAGAACUCAGAAGAAAUGUGUUUCCUAGGUAGUAUUCUGUGACUGAUCAAAUGUUUUCAGAACUGUGAGUUAGUACUGUCCAGUGUUGCAAACAAUUUAUUUAUAUUGAAUCUAUUGUUCUGUUUAACCAUAAACCUGAAUUGAAGAGCUCUAUUUUAACAUGUUUGAAAAUGCUAUGUAUUUAUGGUGGUAAGAUACAGUAGGAAUGUGUUUUGUUAGGCAGCUGAAUUUUAAGAUUUUUUUGUGCAAUAAAAUGUUGUUGAACUUU
This is a long non-coding RNA of Schistocerca gregaria, 2081 nucleotides long. RefSeq lists it as uncharacterized. The record is from RefSeq and is a predicted model, not a curated record. Lineage: Eukaryota; Metazoa; Arthropoda; Insecta; Orthoptera; Acrididae. The transcript has 2 exons.